RNAcentral lists this transfer RNA (70 nucleotides) under Myladina unguiculina. Its description in RNAcentral is "tRNA-Val". The record is from RNAcentral. Lineage: Eukaryota; Metazoa; Arthropoda; Insecta; Coleoptera; Tenebrionidae.
CAAAUUAGAGCUUGAUUUAAAGCAUCUUAUUUACACUAAGAAGUUAGUUGUUAAAUUCAACUUGAUUUGA